GUCCACGCUGUAAACGAUGGGCACUAGGUGUUGGCCCCGGUUCUGCCGGGGUCGGUGCCGUAGCUAACGUAUUAAGUGCCCCGCCUGGGGAGUACGCUCGCAAGGGUGAAACUCAAAGGAAUUGACGGGGGCCCGCACAAGCGGUGGAGCAUGUGGUUUAAUUCGAUGCAACGCGCAGAACCUUACCGGGGCUUAAACUGCUAAGUAAGCCCUAUGAAAAUAGGAUUAUUCUUCGGAAUAACUUAGUAGAGGUGCUGCAUGGCUGUCGU
Molecule: ribosomal RNA, 269 nt
Filed under: uncultured bacterium
Lineage: Bacteria
Description: partial 16S ribosomal RNA
Rfam family: Bacterial small subunit ribosomal RNA
Source: RNAcentral